AUAAAUUAUAUACGUAACAUAUUUUGCUUACCUUUUUAAUAUUUUUAUUUUCAUUUUUUUUUAGUUGACUUGGAUUGGGAAAAGGGUUAGAGUUAAAUUAUUUAGCCUAUAAAUAUAUAGCUAUAGGUUGUAAAAGGGGGUUAGAAAUAUUCACGUGAUAUAUACUAGAGAGAUAGUGUUAGAGAGGGAAGGAAGAAAAGGAAGGAAUGAGGAGAAAAAAAUCAUGUAGAGAGAAGAUCAAGGAAGAAGAAGUUUAACUUUCGAUCCGAAAGUUUAAGGUGUUCGUCACGAGUAGAGGUUGUUCGUGCUGAGCGGGGAUCAGUCUACUUCAUUUUUCCGAUGCUACAUAGGAGUUCCUUUAUAAUUCAGUUUCCUGUUUUAGAUUACUGUCAUUUGUUUAGUUUGGAUUUUCUAGGGGUCCACACAGUAUGGAUUCCCGAGUUGUAUUUUGGAGGAUCAGUUGUAUCAGAAGAGUUUAUUAAUUAAUGGAAAUAUAUUAUGAGGUUUAUUAUUAAA
Cornus florida is the source of this 516-nucleotide long non-coding RNA. RefSeq lists it as uncharacterized. Lineage: Eukaryota; Viridiplantae; Streptophyta; Magnoliopsida; Cornales; Cornaceae. The record is from RefSeq and is a predicted model, not a curated record. The transcript is spliced from 2 exons.